RNAcentral lists this ribosomal RNA (497 nucleotides) under uncultured bacterium. Its description in RNAcentral is "partial 16S ribosomal RNA". It matches the Rfam family "Bacterial small subunit ribosomal RNA", at positions 28 to 507 of the family's 1533-position model. The record is from RNAcentral.
GAUGAGCGCUGGCGGCGUGCCUAAUACAUGCAAGUCGAGCGAACGGACGAGAAGCUUGCUUCUCUGAUGUUAGCGGCGGACGGGUGAGUAACACGUGGAUAACCUACCUAUAAGACUGGGAUAACUUCGGGAAACCGGAGCUAAUACCGGAUAAUAUUUUGAACCGCAUGGUUCAAAAGUGAAAGACGGUCUUGCUGUCACUUAUAGAUGGAUCCGCGCUGCAUUAGCUAGUUGGUAAGGUAACGGCUUACCAAGGCAACGAUGCAUAGCCGACCUAAGAGGGUGAUCGGCCACACUGGAACUGAGACACGGUCCAGACUCCUACGGGAGGCAGCAGUAGGGAAUCUUCCGCAAUGGGCGAAAGCCUGACGGAGCAACGCCGCGUGAGUGAUGAAGGUCUUCGGAUCGUAAAACUCUGUUAUUAGGGAAGAACAUAUGUGUAAGUAACUGUGCACAUCUUGACGGUACCUAAUCAGAAAGCCACGGCUAACUACAUG